RNAcentral lists this ribosomal RNA (490 nucleotides) under uncultured bacterium. Its description in RNAcentral is "partial 16S ribosomal RNA". It matches the Rfam family "Bacterial small subunit ribosomal RNA", at positions 29 to 507 of the family's 1533-position model. The record is from RNAcentral.
AGUGAACGCUGGCGGUAGGCCUAACACAUGCAAGUCGAACGGCAGCACAGGAGAGCUUGCUCUCUGGGUGGCGAGUGGCGGGCGGGUGAGGAAUACAUCGGCAUCUGCCCAGUCGUGGGGGAUAACGUAGGGAAACUUACGCUAAUACCGCAUACGACCUUCGGGUGAAAGAGGGGGAUCGCAAGACCUCUCGCGAGUGGAUGAGCCGAUGUCGGAUUAGCUAGUUGGCGGGGUAAUGGCACACCAAGGCGACGAUCCGUAGCUGGUCUGAGAGGAUGGUGACCGACAUGGGAGGUGGAACGCGGUCCAGACUCCUACGGGAGGCACCAGUGGCGAACAUUGGGCAAUGGUCGCAAGCCUGGUCCAGCCAUACCACGUGGGUGAAGAAGGCGUUGGGGGUGUAAAGCCCUUUUUUUGGGUGAGAAAUCCUUCAGGCUAAUACCCUGGGAGAAUGACGGUACCCAAUGAAUAAGCACCGGCUAACUUCGUG